AGAGUUUGAUCCUGGCUCAGGAUGAACGCUGGCGGCGUGCUUAACACAUGCAAGUCGAACGCACCUUCGGGUGAGUGGCGGACGGGUGAGUAACGCGUGAGAAUCUGCCCUCAGGAGGGGGAUAACGGCUGGAAACGGCCGCUAAUACCCCAUAUGCCGCGAGGUGAAACGAGUUUUCGCCUGAGGAUGAGCUCGCGUCUGAUUAGCUAGUUGGUGGGGUAAGAGCCUACCAAGGCAUCGAUCAGUAGCUGGUCUGAGAGGAUGAUCAGCCACACUGGGACUGAGACACGGCCCAGACUCCUACGGGAGGCAGCAGUGGGGAAUUUUCCGCAAUGGGCGAAAGCCUGACGGAGCAACGCCGCGUGAGGGAUGAAGGCCUCUGGGCUGUAAACCUCUUUUCUCAAGGAAGAAGAUCUGACGGUACUUGAGGAAUAAGCCACGGCUAAUUCCGUGCCAGCAGCCGCGGUAAUACGGGAGUGGCAAGCGUUAUCCGGAAUUAUUGGGCGUAAAGCGUCCGCAGGCGGUCUUGAAAGUCUGUUGUUAAAGCGUGGAGCUUAACUCCAUUUCAGCAAUGGAAACUAGAAGACUAGAGUGUGGUAGGGGCAGAGGGAAUUCCCGGUGUAGCGGUGAAAUGCGUAGAUAUCGGGAAGAACACCAGUGGCGAAGGCGCUCUGCUGGGCCAUAACUGACGCUCAUGGACGAAAGCCAGGGGAGCGAAAGGGAUUAGAUACCCCUGUAGUCCUGGCCGUAAACGAUGAACACUAGGUGUCGGGGGAAUCGACCCCCUCGGUGUCGUAGCCAACGCGUUAAGUGUUCCGCCUGGGGAGUACGCACGCAAGUGUGAAACUCAAAGGAAUUGACGGGGGCCCGCACAAGCGGUGGAGUAUGUGGUUUAAUUCGAUGCAACGCGAAGAACCUUACCAGGGUUUGACAUCCUGCGAAUCCCUUGGAAACGAGGGAGUGCCUUCGGGAGCGCAGAGACAGGUGGUGCAUGGCUGUCGUCAGCUCGUGUCGUGAGAUGUUGGGUUAAGUCCCGCAACGAGCGCAACCCACGUCUUUAGUUGCCAGCAUUCAGUUGGGCACUCUAGAGAGACCGCCGGUGAUAAACCGGAGGAAGGUGUGGAUGACGUCAAGUCAUCAUGCCCCUUACAUCCUGGGCUACACACGUACUACAAUGCUACGGACAAAGGGCAGCAAACUCGCGAGAGCUAGCAAAUCCCAUAAACCGUGGCUCAGUUCAGAUCGUAGGCUGCAACUCGCCUACGUGAAGGAGGAAUCGCUAGUAAUCGCAGGUCAGCAUACUGCGGUGAAUACGUUCCCGGGCCUUGUACACACCGCCCGUCACACCAUGGAAGUUGGCCACGCCCGAAGUCGUUACUCCAACCCUUGUGGAGGAGGACGCCGAAGGUGGGGCUGAUGACUGGGGUGAAGUCGUAACAAGGUA
RNAcentral lists this ribosomal RNA (1444 nucleotides) under metagenome. RNAcentral's name for it is "bacterial SSU rRNA". It matches the Rfam family "Bacterial small subunit ribosomal RNA". The record is from RNAcentral.